CGGUUGAUCCUGCCGGACCCUACUGCUAUCGGGGUAGGACUAAAACAUGCAAGUCGAGCGUCUCCCAACAUGUUGUGGAGACGCGGCGAACGGCUCAGUAACACGUGGCCAACCUACCCUUAGGACUGGGAAUUACCCCAGGAAACUGGGGUUAAUUCCCGAUAGGCGAGGAGGCCUGGAAUGGCUCCUCGCCGAAAAGACGUUAGAGGCAUGCUCUCUAACGUCGCCUAAGGAUGGGGCCGCGGCCGAUCAGGGCUGUUGGUGAGGUAACGGCUCACCAAGCCUAUAACCGGUACGGGCCGUGAGAGCGGGAGCCCGGAGAUGGGCACUGAGAUAAGGGCCCAGGCCCUACGGGGCGCAGCAGUUGCGAAAACUCGCCAAUGCACGAAAGUGUGAGCGGGCUACCCCGAGUGCCGUCCGCUGAGGACGGCUUUUCUCUGCUGUAAGGAAGCAGAGGAAUAAGGAGAGGGCAAGACUGGUGUCAGCCGCCGCGGUAAUACCAGCUCUCCGAGUGGUAGGGGUGAUUAUUGGGCUUAAAGCGUCCGUAGCCGGCCUAACAAGUCCUCCGUUAAAUCCAGCAACCUAAUUGCUGGGCUGCGGAGGAUACUGUUAGGCUAGGGGGCGGGAGAGGCCGACGGUAUUCUCGGGGUAGGGGUGAAAUCCUAUAAUCCCGAGAGGACCACCAGUGGCGAAGGCUGUCGGCUUGCCCGCGCCCGACGGUGAGGGACGAAAGCUGGGGGAGCGAACCGGAUUAGAUACCCGGGUAGUCCCAGCUGUAAACGAUGCGGGCUAGGUGUUGGGGCGGCUACGAGCCGCUCCAGUGCCGCAGCGAAAGCGUUAAGCCCGCCGCCUGGGAAGUACGGCCGCAAGGCUGAAACUUAAAGGAAUUGGCGGGGGAGCAC
This 902-nucleotide ribosomal RNA is filed under the name uncultured archaeon. RNAcentral describes it as "bacterial SSU rRNA". It matches the Rfam family "Archaeal small subunit ribosomal RNA", at positions 5 to 879 of the family's 1478-position model. The record is from RNAcentral.